Molecule: long non-coding RNA, 879 nt
Filed under: Marmota monax (woodchuck)
Lineage: Eukaryota; Metazoa; Chordata; Mammalia; Rodentia; Sciuridae
Source: RNAcentral
AGCAAAUCCAGCAAAGCAGAUUAAAAAAGAAACCUCCUGAGGUAGCAAGAACACUAUUAGAGCACUGUGUCUGAGAAAUCAAAGACAGAAGAAUGUGUUUCAAAAAAGACCUGUGUCAGUGCUGUUGAUUGGCUAAAAAACUUGAGAGCUAAGAACUGACUUUAGCUAGAAGGAGAAUGCUGGGGAUUCUGACAAGAUGAUUCCUCUGGAGCAAUGGAGAAGACAACCUUAAUUUAGGAGAGUGUUGGGAAAAGUAGUGAAGAAUCUAGAUGUAGAAGCAUUUUGAAGGUUUUACUGCAGGGUAGAGCAAAGAAAUGGGAAAACAUUUUGGAUAUGGGUUCUAAUGCAAGAUAUGAUAGCCUUUAUUUAUGCUGAUGAAAAUUAUCUAAUAUAAAAAUAGCAACUAAAGAUACAAGAAAAGUAGGAUGAUUAUAGAAGUGAAGUUCCAUAAUGAUCUCUAGGGAAUGGGAACCACCAUGAAAGUAGAGGGGUUGGCCUUGCAUAGGAACAGAGGUUCCCAGGAUAAAGGAAGAAUAGGUAGAGUACUUGGGGGUAGAUUUGGUAGCAGGAAGAUGAAAUAAUUCUCUUCUGAUUUCUCAAUCUUGUAUUGAAAUUAGAAGCAAGGUCAUUGGCUGAGAAUAAAAGUAGAAGUAUUGGAAUGUGGAGAAAAAAGGAAAAAGUAUGAGUGUGAAACUGCUAGCUUAGAAAACAGAAGAACAAAUUGACAACAUAAAUGUAGUAGGAUUGCUGAAGGCCCAAGUAAAACCAGUGAAUACAAAUUUUAAGAUGAAACCAAUGAGUGUUUCUCUACUUAAGAAGAUGUCAAUCUGUGUUUUUUCCUUACCCACUUAGCUGUUUACCACAGGCAAAGAGUGCGAG